CACACACUUGUGCACCUGCACAAAAACCCUGCACUCUUCCUGAUCUCAGCUCCGGGGGUGAAUAGCGAUUGUGUCUAAGGCCAAUCUUGGUGACCCAUUUCCCAUGCCGGUCAUUGGGUUGGGUAUCCCAAAGAAAUGGGAGGGAAAUGUGCUAGGGGAAGAGGACAUCCUGGGGAGGAUUUCCCCCACUAAUUAAACAAAAAACAUAUUAAGCAAAACGUUUCUCUUACUCUGCCAGACGUUGUCAUGUCUGUGUGUGAAGCCAAGAACCACUGCAGCCACUUUGUGACAAGAAGGGAGCUAAGCUGAUAUGAUGAGGACUGCGAAGUGGAAAGAUGGAAAGAAUCUAGUGGGGUUUUCUGGGGGUCGAUUUUUUUGAGGAAGAUUAGCCCUGAGCUAACAUCUGCUGCCAAUCCUCCCCUUUUUGCUGAGGAAGACUGGCCCUGAGCUAAUAUCCAUGCCCAUACUCCUCUACGUUAUAUGUGGGAUGCCUACCAAAGCAUGGCUUGACAAGCAGUGCCAUGUCCGCACCCGGGAUCCGAACCAGUGAACCCCGGGCCCUGAAGUGGAACGUACACACUUAACUGCUGCGCCACUGGGCCAGCCCCCAAAUCUGGUGUUUUGACAACUUGUUUCAGCCACUGGAUUAAUCACUCCUGCAGCUGUUGUAUCUCAAGACUUCUGGCUAACAUGGCUUGACAAAUGGUGCUAGGUCCACACACUGGAUCCAAACCUGCAAACCCCAGGCCACCGAAGCGGAGCUUGGGAACUUAACUGCUACACCACCAGGCCGGCCCCUGUAUGUGUUUUAAUGUGAGAAUCCAGCACCCUGAGGAAGGAGUGUUCCUAAAUGAUCCCAUAUCCAGCCAUUGUCUCAGAGGAUUUCUGUUUGCCAAAGCCAACUCUAACCCUCACUGAAUUGAACCUCUGGAUGUUAGAGUGACUUCCACGAGUGGACUUUCAGAAAGAAGGCGGACGCCACUGGGAUCAAAGAAAUCGUAGCUCAGCUUUAAGUUUCAAAAUGAUUUGAAGUCUAUGCUGAAGAUAAUAAUCUUGAAAGGUGGGUUUUGUUGAGUGAAAAAGGUAUUUCCUAAAUUCUGAAACUUUCCCCUUAAAUAAGAAGCAGCAAAGCUUGGAUCACAGAGAUAGGAAGAACCUGGAUAAGGGUAAAAUGUUUGAAAGAGGAAAGGGAGAGAGAGCAAAAGGUCAGAUGCAAAUGUCUUAUCUUGUCUUAUGGGGUGGGAAGUCCCAGAAGGGUCUAAAGAACCCACUGUUAACAUUCUGAGAAACCUGAGAACACUGGGGUUCUAUGUCAGAGGAGACUGUAGGACACUCAAAGAAGUCCCACAUUGGGCGAUGGCCCUGCUUUUGAUGCCUUGAGGGAGUGGGGGAGCAGCUUCAUUCAAGUGGAGUUAGUGGUCCCAGUGGACCAGUCUACAUGCCAUACGCAGGGCUCCAGGAAGACCCACAAGUACCAGUAGGGGAUGAGCGAGUGCUAAGAAAAUUGGUACACCAGAGGAGGCCUGGACAUCAAGAAGAGGAGACGACAGAGCAUAGGACCUUGUGACUAAAGGCUGUAGCAGUGACCCUCAAUUUUAGCAGUGACAUCCAAAAUUCCAGCCAGGACCCACUACUCCUCAGCAUCAUGUGUAAAAAUGGCCCAGAGACCCUGCAGGAUGAGGGCCACCUUGUGGAAGGCAAUGGAAACCCAGAGGCCCUCUCUCUGGACCGAGGUGCCCAAGAAGGGAGAUACAGCCCUGAAACAGAAAGUGAAUUUGAGUCCACUAUUUACCCACAAUUAACAGUUUUAAACUGGAAGAGACUGAGUUAAAUAUAAUAAAGAAUUUUAAGUGUCUUCCUCAGCAUGGGCAAGAAGCGGGGCUGUCUUGAGCAGGAAGGGCUCAGUUCAUGGAUGUAAGGUUAGGUUACUUUUUUCUGCAUCUGAGUUGUAGUGGGUGAACUUCCAUCCUGCUUCAUCAAUGUGUGUGAUACACACAUGCGUGCGCACAUGUGCACACACACACACACACAGGCUUUUGAAUUCCUUCUCUGACAAAAAUCAUCAUGUCAAAAAUUGUGCUCCAACAUAGCAGACAACAGAAGAUCCUAGGGAAGGCUGGCUUUCAAAUGAAAAGGCUGAGGACUCAUUUACUUUAGAACAUGAGAGACAACAGAGAGUAACGGUCAAGGCCAUGGAGCCUGAUGUGUCGUCUGCAAACCUUGGUUCCACCACUCACUAGC
Molecule: long non-coding RNA, 2241 nt
Filed under: Equus caballus (horse)
Lineage: Eukaryota; Metazoa; Chordata; Mammalia; Perissodactyla; Equidae
Description: lncRNA (ENSECAG00000041220.2)
Source: RNAcentral